UAGGAAAGAGAAGAAGCAGGGGAUGUUGCUGGUGCAGAAUGCACAAGUGCACUCUCUUGCCAUAUUUCUUCUUCAAUUCAUCUCAUCACACCUGUGCACAUAUUGUAGGUUGAGUUACAUCAACCUAUGUUUUUUUAUGCUCUCAUACAACCCUUAUAUUGUAUGUGUUGAUAUUAUAUUCAUUGGAAUA
RNAcentral lists this unclassified non-coding RNA (190 nucleotides) under uncultured Agaricales. RNAcentral describes it as "sequence contains ITS1". The record is from RNAcentral. Lineage: Eukaryota; Fungi; Basidiomycota; Agaricomycetes; Agaricales.